This 754-nucleotide ribosomal RNA is filed under the name uncultured Clostridiaceae bacterium. Its description in RNAcentral is "bacterial SSU rRNA". It matches the Rfam family "Bacterial small subunit ribosomal RNA", at positions 104 to 878 of the family's 1533-position model. The record is from RNAcentral. Lineage: Bacteria; Bacillati; Bacillota; Clostridia; Eubacteriales; Clostridiaceae.
GGGUGAGUAACGCGUGGGAAACCUGCCCUAUACAGGGGAAUAGCCUCGGGAAACCGGGAUUAAUGCCCCAUAAAACUCUAGUAUCGCAUGAUACAUGAGUCAAAACUCCGGUGGUAUAGGAUGGUCCCGCGUCCCAUUAGCUAGUUGGUGAGGUAACAGCUCACCAAGGCGACGAUGGGUAGCCGGCCUGAGAGGGUGAUCGGCCACACUGGAACUGAGACACGGUCCAGACUCCUACGGGAGGCAGCAGUGGGGAAUAUUGCACAAUGGGGGAAACCCUGAUGCAGCGAUGCCGCGUGAGCGAUGAAGGCCUUCGGGUCGUAAGCUCUGUCCUUAGGGAAGAAUACUGACGGUACCUAAGGAGGAAGCACCGGCUAACUACGUGCCAGCAGCCGCGGUAAUACGUAGGGUGCAAGCGUUGUCCGGAAUCACUGGGCGUAAAGAGUUCGUAGGCGGCUUUAUAAGUCAGGUGUGAAAGGCAUUGGCUCAACCAAUGUAAGCACUUGAAACUAUAAGGCUUGAGUACUGGAGAGGAGAGUGGAAUUCCUAGUGUAGCGGUGAAAUGCGUAGAUAUUAGGAGGAACACCAGUGGCGAAGGCGACUCUCUGGACAGUUACUGACGCUGAGGAACGAAAGCGUGGGGAGCGAACAGGAUUAGAUACCCUGGUAGUCCACGCCGUAAACGAUGAGUGCUAGGUGUUGGAAGGGACACCUUUCAGUGCCGCAGCUAACGCAUUAAGCACUCCGCCUGGGG